Molecule: ribosomal RNA, 449 nt
Filed under: uncultured bacterium
Lineage: Bacteria
Description: bacterial SSU rRNA
Rfam family: Bacterial small subunit ribosomal RNA
Source: RNAcentral
UCGAGAAUCAUUCGCAAUGGGCGAAAGCCUGACGAUGCGACGCCGUGUGAGCGAUGAAGGCCUUCGGGUCGUAAAGCUCUUUCGCUUGGGAACAAGAAAAGCUGGCUAAUAUCCAGCGGAUUUGAGAGUACCAGGUAAAGAAGCACCGGCUAACUCCGUGCCAGCAGCUGCGGUAAUACGGAGGGUGCAAGCAUUAAUCGGAUUUAUUGGGCGUAAAGGGCGCGUAGGCGGAAAGAUAAGUCAGAUGUGAAAUCCCGAAGCUCAACUUCGGAACAGCAUUUGAAACUGUUUUUCUUGAGGAUAGAUGGAGAAAACGGAAUUCCACAAGUAGCGGUGAAAUGCGUAGAUAUGUGGAAGAACACCAGUGGCGAAGGCGGUUUUCUAAUUUAGACCUGACGCUGAGGCGCGAAAGUAAGGGGAUCAAACAGGAUUAGAUACCCGGGUAGUCC